GGGCGGAGUGUACAAGGCAUGCAAGUCGAACGAUACAGUGGCAAACGGGAGAGUGUGACAGUGGAACCUACCCUGCACACGAGGACAACCAUUAGAAAUGAUGGCUAAUACUCGAUAGUCUACUUCGGUAGUAAAACUCCGGUGGUGCAGGAGGGGCCUUUGGUCCAUCAGCUAGUUGGUAAGGUAAAAGCUUACCAAGGCGACGACGGAUAGCGGGUGUGAGAGCACGACCCGCCUCACUGGGACUGAGACACUGCCCAGACACCUACGGGUGGCUGCAGUCAAGAAUCUUCCGCAAUGCACGAAAGUGUGACGGAGCGACGCCGCGUGUGGGAAGACGCCUUUCGGGGUGUAAACCACUUUUAUAUGGGAAAAACUAGCGAUGGUACCAUAUGAAUAAGGGGCUGCUAACUUCGUGCCAGCAGCAGCGGUAAUACGAAGGCCCCAAGCAUUAUCCGGAUUUACUGGGCGUAAAGAGCUAAAAGGCUGCGUGAAAAGUCGAUUGUUAAAGCCCGGAGCUCACCUCCGGAUCUGCAAUCGAAACUAUCAUGCUAGAGAGUGGAAGAGGCAAGCGGAAUUGCCGGUGUAGCAGUAAAAUGCGUUAAUAUCGGUAGGAACACCAAUAGUGAAGACAGCUUGCUGGGACAUUUCUGACGCUAAAUAGCGAAAGCGUGGGUAGCGAAUGGGAUUAGAUACCCCAGUAGUCCACGCCGUAAACGCUGGAUGCUA
RNAcentral lists this ribosomal RNA (729 nucleotides) under uncultured bacterium. RNAcentral describes it as "bacterial SSU rRNA". It matches the Rfam family "Bacterial small subunit ribosomal RNA", at positions 37 to 818 of the family's 1533-position model. The record is from RNAcentral.